AUUCAGGGACCCAAGCGGAGCCGCAGAAGUUGGAGAGGGAAGGAGCCAGGAGCCAGGAUCAGGAUGCAGGUGUCCCCUGCUACUUGCUACUUCUUGUCUCCUUGUUAAGAGAACCUGACUGACCAUUCAUCAUCGAAGUAAACGCUCAAGCAUACAGCCAUAUUAUACAUCAGUGUCUGAUCAGUUCAUUCAUCAUUGAUCCCAAACAUGGGGGGACUGGCCAUAGACCCUGCAGGGAAAUUUCCCGGUGGGCCAAUGCACAGAUGACCACCCAAACCCUUUUGGCUACCAGCCAGUCCCCAAAUGCAUGAACGGAAGAAGAGAGAAAGAAAGAAAUAAAAAACGUGGGGGAAGGGAAUAAUCCUAAUUCUAUCGUAUUUACUAUCAUCCCACUGGUGUGUACAUUGUUGUUAUUAAGUUAUAUUUAAAUGAUACAACCCAUUUACAGUGGAGGAAACACUCUGCAUUACUUACUUUACCUAAAUUCUGUGCUAGAAAAUAAAGU
This is a long non-coding RNA of Bufo gargarizans (Asiatic toad), 505 nucleotides long. RefSeq lists it as uncharacterized. The record is from RefSeq and is a predicted model, not a curated record. NCBI's taxonomy places the organism in Eukaryota, Metazoa, Chordata, Amphibia, Anura, Bufonidae. The transcript has 3 exons.